GAGUUACUGCUAUCGAGGUUCGACUAAGCCAUGCGAGUCGAAUGUAGCAAUACAUGGCGAACUGCUCAGUAACACGUGGACAACCUGCCCUUAGGACGGGGAUAAACCCGGGAAACUGGGUAUAAUACCCGAUAGGUCUCGAUUGCUGGAAUGCAUCGAGAUUUAAAGCUCCGGCGCCUAAGGAUGGGUCUGCGGCCUAUCAGGUAGUAGUGGGUGUAGCGUACCUACUAGCCUACGACGGGUACGGGUUGUGAGAGCAAGAGCCCGGAGAUGGAUUCUGAGACACGAAUCCAGGCCCUACGGGGUGCAGCAGGCGCGAAAACUUUACAAUGCUGGCAACAGCGAUAAGGGAACCUCGAGUGCCAGGUUACAAAUCUGGCUGUCGAGAUGCCUAAAAAGCAUUUCAUAGCAAGGGCCGGGCAAGACCGGUGCCAGCCGCCGCGGUAACACCGGCGGCUCGAGUGGUAACCGUUAUUAUUGGGUCUAAAGGGUCUGUAGCCGGCCGGAUAAGUCUCUUGAGAAAUCUGGCAGCUUAACUGUCAGGCUUUCAGGAGAUACUGUCUGGCUCGAGGCCGGGAGAGGUGAGAGGUACUUCAGGGGUAGGGGUGAAAUCUUGUAAUCCUUGAAGGACCACCAGUGGCGAAGGCGUCUCACCAGAACGGACCUGACGGCAAGGGACGAAAGCUAGGGGCACGAACCGGAUUAGAUACCCGGGUAGUCCUAGCCGUAAACGAUACUCGCUAGGUGUCGGCCACGGUGCGACCGUUGUCGGUGCCGUAGGGAAGCCGUGAAGCGAGCCACCUGGGAAGUACGGCCGCAAGGCUGAAACUUAAAGGAAUUGGCGGGGGAGCACCACAACGGGUGGAGCUUGCGGUUUAAUUGGAUUCAACGCCGG
RNAcentral lists this ribosomal RNA (895 nucleotides) under uncultured archaeon. RNAcentral's name for it is "bacterial SSU rRNA". It matches the Rfam family "Archaeal small subunit ribosomal RNA", at positions 21 to 921 of the family's 1478-position model. The record is from RNAcentral.